Molecule: ribosomal RNA, 246 nt
Filed under: uncultured bacterium
Lineage: Bacteria
Description: partial 16S ribosomal RNA
Rfam family: Bacterial small subunit ribosomal RNA
Source: RNAcentral
CUGGCAGUAAACGGUGCACGCUUGGUGUGAGGGGAAUCGACCCCCCUUGUGCCGGAGCUAACGCGUUAAGCGUGCCGCCUGGGAAGUACGGUCGCAAGACUAAAACUCAAAGAAAUUGACGGGGACCCGCACAAGCGGUGGAGUAUGUGGCUUAAUUCGAUGCAACGCGAAGAACCUUACCUAGGCUUGACAUGCAUUUCUAAGCGCGUGAAAGCGCGUGACCCUUCGGGGGACUUGCACAGGUGC